This 405-nucleotide ribosomal RNA is filed under the name uncultured bacterium. RNAcentral describes it as "partial 16S ribosomal RNA". It matches the Rfam family "Bacterial small subunit ribosomal RNA", at positions 28 to 526 of the family's 1533-position model. The record is from RNAcentral.
GAUGAACGCUGGCGGCGUGCCUAAUACAUGCAAGUCGAGCGAAGCGGGGACGGGAGAGUAACACGUGGAUAACCUACUAUAAGACUGGGAUAACUUAGGGAAACUGGAGCUAAACCGGAAACUUAUCGAUGGACCCGCGCUGCAUUAGCUAGUUGUAGAGGUAACGGCGUAACAAGGCAACGAUCCAUAGCCGACCUGAGAGGUAGAUCGCACACACUGUGACUUGCAAACGGUCCAGGCUCCUACGGGAGGUCGCAGUAGGGAAUCUUCCGCAAUGGGCGAAAGCCUGACGGCGCAACCCCGCGUGAGUGAUGAAGGUCUUCGGAUCGUAAAUCACUUUUAUUAGGAAAGCGGUACCUGAUCAGUAAGCGACGGCUAACUACGUGCCAGCAGCCGCGGUAAUUC